UAGUAACUGCGAGUGAAGCGGGAAAAGCUCAAAUUUAAAAUCUGACGGUUUUGCCGUCCGAGUUGUAAUCUGGAGAAGCGUUUUCCGCGUUGGACUGUGUACAAGUCUCUUGGAACAGAGCGUCAUAGAGGGUGAGAAUCCCGUCCAUGCCACAGACUCCCAAUGCUUUGUGAUACGCUCUCGAAGAGUCGAGUUGUUUGGGAAUGCAGCUCAAAAUGGGUGGUAAGCUCCAUCUAAAGCUAAAUAUUGGCGAGAGACCGAUAGCGAACAAGUACCGUGAGGGAAAGAUGAAAAGCACUUUGGAAAGAGAGUUAAACAGUACGUGAAAUUGUUGAAAGGGAAACGCUGGACGUCAGUCGCGUCUUACUGGACUCAGCCUUGCCUCGGCUUGGUGUAUUUCCUGUGAGACGGGUCAACAUCGAUUUCGACCGGUGGACAAGGGGGUAGGGAAUGUGGCACGCCUCGGCGUGUGUUAUAGCCCUGCCUCGUAUGCAUCGGUGGGGGAUCGAGGCCCGCAGCGCGCCUUUUUGGCCGGAGGUUCGCCUCACGUAUCGCGCUUAGGAUGUUGGCAUAAUGGCGUUCAGCGACCCGUCUUGAAACACGGACCAAGGAGUCUAACAUGCUCGCGAGUGUUUGGGUGGAAAACCCUUGCGCGAAAUGAAAGUGAAUGUUGAGAGCCUCCGCAAGGGGGUGCAUCGACGCCCGGCCCUGAAGUUCUCUGACGGUGCUGCGGUUGAGCGCGUAUGUUGGGACCCGAAAGAUGGUGAACUAUGCCUGAAUAGGGCGAAGCCAGAGGAAACUCUGGUGGAGGCUCGUAGCGAUUCUGACGUGCAAAUCGAUCGUC
Molecule: ribosomal RNA, 844 nt
Filed under: Fuscoporia ferrea
Lineage: Eukaryota; Fungi; Basidiomycota; Agaricomycetes; Hymenochaetales; Hymenochaetaceae
Description: eukaryotic LSU rRNA
Rfam family: Eukaryotic large subunit ribosomal RNA
Source: RNAcentral